GACGAACGCUGGCGGCGUGCUUAACACAUGCAAGUCGAACGGAAAGGCCCUGCUUUUGUGGGGUGCUCGAGUGGCGAACGGGUGAGUAACACGUGAGUAACCUGCCCUUGACUUUGGGAUAACUUCAGGAAACUGGGGCUAAUACCGGAUAGGAGCUCCUGCUGCAUGGUGGGGGUUGGAAAGUUUCGGCGGUUGGGGAUGGACUCGCGGCUUAUCAGCUUGUUGGUGGGGUAGUGGCUUACCAAGGCUUUGACGGGUAGCCGGCCUGAGAGGGUGACCGGCCACAUUGGGACGGAGGUACGGCCCAGACUUCUACGGGAGGGAGCAGUGGGGAAUAUUGCACAAUGGGCGGAAGCCUGAUGCAGCAACGCCGCGUGCGGGAUGACGGCCUUCGGGUUGUAAACCGCUUUCGCCUGUGACGAAGCGUGAGUGACGGUAAUGGGUAAAGAAGCACCGGCUAACUACGUG
Molecule: ribosomal RNA, 468 nt
Filed under: uncultured bacterium
Lineage: Bacteria
Description: partial 16S ribosomal RNA
Rfam family: Bacterial small subunit ribosomal RNA
Source: RNAcentral